Molecule: ribosomal RNA, 1845 nt
Filed under: Triticum aestivum (bread wheat)
Lineage: Eukaryota; Viridiplantae; Streptophyta; Magnoliopsida; Poales; Poaceae
Description: partial small subunit ribosomal RNA
Source: RNAcentral
AUGCAGGGCGACGGCGAGGUGCUGUUCCUGGGCGGCGUCGGGGAGGUCGCCGUCACCCUCGGCCACGACGGCCUCUCCUUCCUGCCUCUCCACCCGGAAUUGGGUUCUUCAUGUUUGUCAUCUAUCGGAUUACUACCAAAAUUAGAGAAUAAAAUCAAGUUUUCGGAUGUUUAUGCUGUGGAGCUUCUUGAUGAAGGUCCUGUAUGUGGACCUUGGAAUACAAGAAUUGUCGCCCAAGGCAAGAAAAAUAGUGAGAUGCACCGCUUUGCCGUACAUGUAAUCACCAGAUCAAGAAAACACCCUUCUCAAUUGGUACCUUGUGAAUAUCUUUUUGGACACAAAGACCCGGAGACCUGCAAAAGCUGGGUUGAGCAUCUCAGUGCAUGCAUAAAUAAUGAACAGGACAGGCCCAAGAACCUGAUGGUGUUUGUCCAUCCACUUUGUGGAAAAGGUAGAGGUUGCAAAAAUUGGGAAAUGGUAGCUCCUUUAUUUGACCGGGCGAAAGUAAAUACAAAGGUGAUAAUCACGGAGAGAGCAGGACAUGCAUAUGACACCUUAGCAUCAAUAUCAGAUAAAGAGCUCAAGAAAUUUGACGGUGUUGUUGCAGUGGGUGGUGAUGGUUUAUUUAAUGAAAUCCUGAAUGGACUACUAAAUUCGAGGAAUAAGAUUUCUUAUCCUCCAACUCCAGAGGGCUUUGGAUAUUUUGGAAGCACUGAGAAAUGCCAAGGAUGCAGGAACGAUGGGCUAAACAACAGUACGGCCACAUCAGAUGCUGUAAAUGUCAUGCUCCGUGUGGGUUCCAACAAAUCUGAUGAUCAUGAACCUCUUCUUUCGACUGGAAAAUCUGUUGUUGGAUUAGACAUCUCAUCAUUAAAUCCAAAUACAGAAUCAUCUACUGGAGAUCAAGUUCCUCCAGUCUUCUUCCCAAAUGAUUGGUUUAGGCUUGGCAUAAUUCCUUCUGGCUCAACAGAUGCUAUUGUACUCAGCACAACUGGGGAACGAGAUGCUGUGACUUCUGCCCUGCUUAUUAUCUUUGGUAGAAGGAUAGCGCUUGAUAUAGCUCAAGUAGUCAGGUGGAAGAGUAGCCCAUCAGCUGAGGUUUUACCUACUGUACGCUAUGCAGCUUCAUUUGCAGGAUAUGGAUUUUAUGGAGAAGUCAUAAGGGAGAGUGAAAACUACCGAUGGAUGGGCCCUGCACGUUAUGAUUUUUCUGGAACUAUGGUCUUCCUGAAGCACAGAUCUUAUGAUGCAAAAGUGGCUUUUCUUGAGAAUGAGAACUCUCAUUCAUUUGCUGCAUCAGCAGAGAAUGUUGCAGAUGAAGUACAACCACUGCAAUCUCGUAGAAAAAGAUCUCGCAAAACAAUUUGCCAAGCAAAUUGUUCUGUAUGCAAAGAAACUUCAACGCCUGGACAAAAUUCAGAAGAUGAGAUUCCAAACAGCUCUCAAACGAUUCAUAAUAACCCAAAAUGGAUCUGGUCCGAGGGGCGUUUUCUAAGUGUCGGUGCAGCUGUCAUUUCAUGUCGCAAUGAAAGAGCCCCUGAUGGCCUAGUGGCUGAAGCACACCUCUCAGAUGGUUUUCUACACCUUCUGCUCAUUAGAGAUUGCCCUCUUCCCUUAUAUUUGUGCCGUUCUAUCUGCAGGCAUCUGACACAAUUUACUAAGAAGGGGUCGGACCCUUUAACCUUCAAGUUUGUUGAACAUCAUAAGACACGAGCAUUUACCUUCAUCUCAUCACACGACGAAAGCGUAUGGAACUUGGAUGGCGAGCUUUUUCAGGCCUGCGAAGUGUCUGUCCAAGCUUGCCGGGGCCUUGUCAACCUCUUCGCGUCAGGGCCAGAGGUGUAG